GGGUGAGUAACGCGUAUGCAACCUGCCCGUUUCAGCGGGAUAACCCGGAGAAAUCCGGCCUAAUACCGCAUGUGGCCGAGGGGAGGCAUCUUCUUUCGGCCAAAGGAGGCGACUCCGGAGACGGAUGGGCAUGCGUGACAUUAGCUUGUUGGCGGGGUAACGGCCCACCAAGGCGACGAUGUCUAGGGGUUCUGAGAGGAAGGUCCCCCACACUGGUACUGAGACACGGACCAGACUCCUACGGGAGGCAGCAGUGAGGAAUAUUGGUCAAUGGGCGAGAGCCUGAACCAGCCAAGUCGCGUGAAGGAUGACGGCCCUACGGGUUGUAAACUUCUUUUGUCAGGGAGCAAUUGGGUCCACGUGUGGGCUUAGCGAGAGUACCUGAAGAAAAAGCAUCGGCUAACUCCGUGCCAGCAGCCGCGGUAAUACGGAGGAUGCGAGCGUUAUCCGGAUUUAUUGGGUUUAAAGGGUGCGUAGGCGGAAUAUCAAGUCAGCGGUAAAAAUUCGGGGCUCAACCCCGUCGUGCCGUUGAAACUGAUGUUCUUGAGUGGGCGAGAAGUAUGCGGAAUGCGUGGUGUAGCGGUGAAAUGCAUAGAUAUCACGCAGAACUCCGAUUGCGAAGGCAGCAUACCGGCGCCCAACUGACGCUGAAGCACGAAAGCGUGGGUAUCGAACAGGAUUAGAUACCCUGGUAGUCCACGCAGUAAACGAUGAAUGCUAAUUGUCCGGA
This 730-nucleotide ribosomal RNA is filed under the name uncultured bacterium. Its description in RNAcentral is "bacterial SSU rRNA". It matches the Rfam family "Bacterial small subunit ribosomal RNA", at positions 104 to 828 of the family's 1533-position model. The record is from RNAcentral.